Molecule: long non-coding RNA, 387 nt
Filed under: Mytilus galloprovincialis (Mediterranean mussel)
Lineage: Eukaryota; Metazoa; Mollusca; Bivalvia; Mytilida; Mytilidae
Source: RNAcentral
AAUAUAGGUCAUCUUAUAUUAAAAUAGUUUUGACAUCCAGAUUAUAAAGAACUGUGUGACUUCAAAUAGUUUGGAUUUCAUUUAGAACCCUAUAUAAAUGAUAGCCAUUUAUCUGGAAUACAAAGAGUAACGUGUGAACUUUAAGAUUAAAAUUUCCAUUGCUCUAUGUAGCAGAAUGACUGUGUCAACGGACUGAUAUGUCCACAAACAUAUAGAUAAAUAUAGCUGAAAGAGAAAGUCCGAGAAUUGUUUGUCCUAUAAUAUCACUAUUGGCAAAUAUAAACAUAAUCUGGCAACGAAGAAUUAAAUAGGAACGAAUUUGCUGUAUCCAGCGAUUAUAACCCUUGGCAUGUUUGAUUUAACUGGUGUAUCAUUGACUUUUGAAAU